This 389-nucleotide ribosomal RNA is filed under the name Dactylogyrus vastator. RNAcentral describes it as "partial large subunit ribosomal RNA". It matches the Rfam family "Eukaryotic large subunit ribosomal RNA", at positions 38 to 391 of the family's 3401-position model. Lineage: Eukaryota; Metazoa; Platyhelminthes; Monogenea; Dactylogyridea; Dactylogyridae. The record is from RNAcentral.
ACAUUCAGUAAGCGGAGGAAAAGAAACUAACCCAGGGAUUCUCCCAGUAACGGCGAGUGAACGAGAGUUUAGCCCAUCACCGAAAGUCCUAUCUACAUUUGUGGACAGGACCAUGGUGGUGUUCGGGCGUGCACCUGGGAGCGCUUGCCUACUCGAAGUCCAUCUCCGAAUUCUGGCUUGGACUAUGCCCAUAGCGGGUGAAAGGCCCGUUCGGGUAGGUUGUUGUUAUUUGAAGCGCUCCUUAGAUGUGCAUGCUCUCGAGUCGGAUUGCUUGAGAAUGCAGUCCAAAGUGGGUGGUAAACUCCAUCCAAGGCUAAAUACUGGCACGAGUCCGAUAGUAGACAAGUACCGUGAGGGAAAGUUGAAAAGUACUCUGAAGAGAGAGUAAA